RNAcentral lists this ribosomal RNA (395 nucleotides) under Protaspa sp. RNAcentral's name for it is "partial small subunit ribosomal RNA". It matches the Rfam family "Eukaryotic small subunit ribosomal RNA", at positions 582 to 975 of the family's 1831-position model. The record is from RNAcentral. Lineage: Eukaryota; Cercozoa; Thecofilosea; Cryomonadida; Protaspidae.
AUUCCAGCUCCAAGAGCGUAUAUUAAAGUUGUUGCAGUUAAAAAGCUCGUAGUUGGAUUUCUGGUAUAAUGCGCCUGGCCCGCUCCGUUUCGGAGUGAGUGCCGGUGCGCGUUUGCCAUCCUUCUAGAAAAUGUUUCUACCCUUCGCUGGGCCGGAUUCACGAUCUAGAUCUUUUACUUUGAAAAAAUUAGAGUGUUUAAAGCAGGCUUUUGCUAUGAAUACAUUAGCAUGGAAUAAUAAUCUAGGACUUCGGUUCUAUUUUGUUGGUUUCUAGUACUGAAGUAAUGAUUGAUAGGGAUAGUUGGGGGUGCUAGUAUUGACCGGCCAGAGGUGAAAUUCUUGGAUUCGGUCAAGACUAACUUAUGCGAAAGCAUUCACCAAGGAUGUCUUCAUUG